GGUGUUUUUUGGGUGACGCACCCCAGAAUUGAGCUCCCUCCUCUCUGGAUCCAGGUGUGUCACCUGAGAACCACA
This is a non-coding RNA of Myotis davidii, 75 nucleotides long. Lineage: Eukaryota; Metazoa; Chordata; Mammalia; Chiroptera; Vespertilionidae. The record is from Rfam.